Molecule: non-coding RNA, 906 nt
Organism: Microcebus murinus (gray mouse lemur)
Lineage: Eukaryota; Metazoa; Chordata; Mammalia; Primates; Cheirogaleidae
Source: RefSeq, a predicted model, not a curated record
UUUCUCGAGACUCCCUAUAUUUGUUCUUCAGACAAAAAUUACUGGUGGUAAUUUUCCAGAAGUUCUUGAGAUUUACAGGGAAAUAGCUUCCAGGCAAGGCCUCUGAGAGUGGCUCACUUAGGUGUCACAGGCUAAGAUCAUCUGGGACCUUUAGGCCUCAGCCCACCCAGCAGAGAUGCUACAGAGGAAGCCCGGAGAAGGGACACAAAACACGAAUUGCAAGGCAGCGGGGAAGGCUUCCUAGAGAAAGUGGUUUGGUCCCAAACUGAAUCUCGAGGGAGGUGAGGCGUUGCCGCGGGCAAAGGGCAAGAGCAGGACACGCAAAGGACACGGCAUGGGGCAAAGGCACGAGAAGGAGCCCCGCUUCUCUGGCCACCCAUACGUUGUUCAGCGCGACGAGGACAAACACUGCUGCAGAGGAAUGAGCCCUGCUCAGCCAAAGAUUCCCAACCCCAGAAAUGAGGCACCUGGAGAUCUCCAAGUCACCACCUCUGUGACCAGGCCACGUUCUGGGUGCUACCGAUGACCGAAAGGAAAACAGAGUUGUAAAACAGAAGUCAUACAACAGGGCUUCUCAGUCACAGGUGUGCAUAUAGGCCACCUGGGGACCCCACAGGACUUAGGUGGGGCCUGAGAUUCUGCAUUUCUCAUGAGCUCUCACAUGAGGCUGACUGUGGACCACACCUUGAGAAGCCCUUGUCUACAGACUGAGGGAACAGCCAGGAGUUUCGGAAGACGCCCAAAGAAAACCUGAUGCUGACAAUUCCUGAGGUCCGUUGAUUCACCAUAUUUGUUGCAUGUGCACUAGAAAAUGAACCUAUGCAGGCUGCAGUUUUGGAGACAGAAGACUUAAAGAAGAAAGAGACAAGAAAUAAUAUGGCAGUUUAGAAACCUCAAAGGUCUAGG